AGUGAACGCUGGCGGUAGGCCUAACACAUGCAAGUCGAACGGCAGCACAGUAAGAGCUUGCUCUUACGGGUGGCGAGUGGCGGACGGGUGAGGAAUACAUCGGAAUCUACUUUUUCGUGGGGGAUAACGUAGGGAAACUUACGCUAAUACCGCAUACGACCUACGGGUGAAGGCAGGGGAUCUUCGGACCUUGCGCGAUUGAAUGAGCCGAUGUCGGAUUAGCUAGUUGGCGGGGUAAAGGCCCACCAAGGCGACGAUCCGUAGCUGGUCUGAGAGGAUGAUCAGCCACACUGGAACUGAGACACGGUCCAGACUCCUACGGGAGGCAGCAGCGGGGAAUAUUGGACAAUGGGCGCAAGCCUGAUCCAGCCAUACCGCGUGGGUGAAGAAGGCCUUCGGGUUGUAAAGCCCUUUUGUUGGGAAAGAAAAGCAGCAGGUUAAUACCCCGCUGUUCUGACGGUACCCAAAGAAUAAGCACCGGCUAACUUCGU
This 491-nucleotide ribosomal RNA is filed under the name uncultured bacterium. Its description in RNAcentral is "partial 16S ribosomal RNA". It matches the Rfam family "Bacterial small subunit ribosomal RNA", at positions 29 to 506 of the family's 1533-position model. The record is from RNAcentral.